Molecule: non-coding RNA, 434 nt
Organism: Camellia sinensis
Lineage: Eukaryota; Viridiplantae; Streptophyta; Magnoliopsida; Ericales; Theaceae
Source: RefSeq, a predicted model, not a curated record
GUAAGGUAUUACCUACGUACUUUUGAAAUUUCAAAUGACAUGCAUUUAUUUUUAUAAAUUAUGUAAAGUAUUGAUAACUUUUUGAAUUUCUUUAGACUAUUGGUCAAUCAAGCAACACUACAAAUGUUCAAAAUUCAUCCUCAAGCCAACAACAGAUUAUUGGUCAAUCAAGCAAUAUCACAAAUGUUCAAAAUUCAUCUUUAAGUCAACCACAGGAUGGUGGGAGUUUCUAUUGGCCACAAUUGAUAACUUAUGGGUAUAAUCUUCUCACACAUGAUACUAAUUCAUACUCACCAAGGUAUCUACAAUCACAACCUUUGUCUUUCCAAGCAUCACAUAGUCCACAAAGUUCUCAAGUAAGAUAUAUAUAUAUAUAUAUAUAUAUGUUUGUAAUGUAAUUUAGUCCAUAAAAUUUAUUCUAAUGAAUUUUCUUU